UCCUUCAAAGCAAGGGUUUCGUUUCACUCUCUCUCUCUCUCUCUCUCUCUCUCUCAUCUCAGAUUGAGAGAGAGAGAGAUCAGAUAAGGAGAAAGAAGAUAGCAGAAGAUGGAAGAGUUAGGAGGGCUUUCAGACGUUUAAGGAAGAAGAGAAACUUGAGGUAGGAUUUAAUGCCUUUUUAAAAGGUGUGGCUUAAUGGCGUCAUCUACAAUAACAUCUGGGGCAUUAGUGUCGGUAGAAGAGAGAAUGGAAAGUUCUUCUGCCCAUCCUUGUGGAUUUGCAGAUACCUUUCAAGGUUUGACGGCGGCCCAAGUUUGACCUCAGCCAUGGAAAUACAGAAGCAUGUCUUCUGAAAUGUAUGCACGGGAAGUACCAGCCUGAACAAUUUUUUCAGAAGAUUUCGUAACCAAGUGACAUACAACAAAAAGGAAGCUAUAUCUUUACCGAAGCCCCCGUGCAGCCAAAUUAUGCCCCCCAGUUUUGGUCCAGAGUAAUAUUAGAAGUUUUUCUUGUGUCACUUUUGUAUUCCUCAAAAAAUGAGGCGACUUUCAAAAUCACUAUUGUAAUUGAUCAUAUUAUUAAAUUUUAAUCAAAUAGUGAUUUUAAAAGUAACUUCAUUUUUUUAGAGACAUAAAGUGAUACAUGAAGGAAUUUUAGAAUUACUUUUUGGUUAUUGUUCAAAUGGAAGUGAAAUGACUGCCUAUGACGCUCAAUUGAAGUGCUUGCCAAUGUGUUUUCGUUGAAGUGGUGGAAAAGCUUAUCUCAUCUGAGGGUGGAGCCGGUUUGUUCUAGCGAAGCAACUAAGCGAAUGAGAUAUCAUCAUCUUUUAUGAGCUUAAUUGUCACAGAGGGAAUUGAAAUAGAUUGUCGAUUAUUUUAAUCUAUUUCAAUUCCUUUUUUGGCAAUUGAGUUCAUAAAAGGUGAUAGUAUCUCCUUCACUUAGCUACUUCGCUUGAGCAAACCGGCUCCACCCUCUGGUGAGAAAAGCAUUUCCACCACUUCGUGCUAAACAUUUGUAUUGCUCUAUUGAAGUUGCAAAAUCAUAUAGGAAUGAUAAUUCCCAUUCCCUCGAUUGAUUUUAAAUAAAUGAAAGGUUUUAUUCUUCUUUC
Alnus glutinosa is the source of this 1108-nucleotide long non-coding RNA. RefSeq lists it as uncharacterized. The record is from RefSeq and is a predicted model, not a curated record. Lineage: Eukaryota; Viridiplantae; Streptophyta; Magnoliopsida; Fagales; Betulaceae. The transcript is spliced from 3 exons.